This 64-nucleotide transfer RNA is filed under the name Astrotoma agassizii. RNAcentral describes it as "tRNA-Pro". The record is from RNAcentral. Lineage: Eukaryota; Metazoa; Echinodermata; Ophiuroidea; Euryalida; Gorgonocephalidae.
CAAAGGUAGUUUAUUUAAAAAUUUAGACUUUGGGAGUCUGUGAUACUAUUUAUUAGUUCUUUGA